ACUGCUCAGUAACACGUGGACAACCUACCCUGAGGAGGGGGAUAACCCCGGGAAACUGGGGAUAAUACCCCAUAGACUAUGGAUGCUGGAAUGCUCUGUAGUUAAAAGGCCCGCCGCCUCAGGAUGGGUCUGCGGCCGAUUAGGUUGUUGUUGGGGUAACGGCCCAACAAGCCUGUAAUCGGUACGGGUUGUGGGAGCAGGAGCCCGGAGAUGGAUUCUGAGACACGAAUCCAGGCCCUACGGGGCGCAGCAGGCGCGAAAACUUUACAAUGCGAGCAAUCGUGAUAAGGGAACUCCGAGUGCCCGUAAAAUCGGGCUGUCCGCCAGUGUAAAUAACUGGUGAAGAAAGGGCCGGGCAAGACCGGUGCCAGCCGCCGCGGUAAUACCGGCGGCUCGAGUGGUGGCCACUAUUACUGGGCUUAAAGCGUUCGUAGCUGGUCUGUUAAGUCUCUGGGGAAAUCUUCCGGCUUAACCGGAAGGCGUCUCAGGGAUACUGACAGACUAGGGACCGGAAGAGGUGAGAGGUACUCCAGGGGUAGGAGUGAAAUCCUGUAAUCCUUGGGGGACCACCUGUGGCGAAGGCGUCUCACCAGGACGGCUCCGACAGUGAGGAACGAAAGCUGGGGGAGCAAACCGGAUUAGAUACCCGGGUAGUCCCAGCUGUAAACGAUGCGCGUUAGGUGUAUCGGUGACCACGAGUCACCGAGGUGCCGAAGAGAAAUCGUGAAACGCGCCGCCUGGGAAGUACGGUCGCAAGGCUGAAACUUAAAGGAAUUGGCGGGGGAGCAC
RNAcentral lists this ribosomal RNA (789 nucleotides) under uncultured archaeon. RNAcentral describes it as "bacterial SSU rRNA". It matches the Rfam family "Archaeal small subunit ribosomal RNA", at positions 85 to 879 of the family's 1478-position model. The record is from RNAcentral.